UACGUAGGGUGCGAGCGUUAAUCGGAAUUACUGGGCGUAAAGCGUGCGCAGGCGGUUUUGUAAGUCAGAUGUGAAAGCCCCGGGCUUAACCUGGGAAUGGCAUUUGGGACUGCAAGGCUUGAGUGCGGCAGAGGAGACUGGAAUUCCUGGUGUAGCAGUGAAAUGCGUAGAUAUCGGGAGGAACACCUAUGGCGAAGGCAGCUCGCUGGGACGUUACUGACGCUGAGACGCGAAAGCGUGGGGAGUAAACAGG
This 253-nucleotide ribosomal RNA is filed under the name uncultured bacterium. RNAcentral's name for it is "partial 16S ribosomal RNA". It matches the Rfam family "Bacterial small subunit ribosomal RNA", at positions 524 to 776 of the family's 1533-position model. The record is from RNAcentral.